AUUGAACGCUGGCGGCAGGCUUAACACAUGCAAGUCGAGCGGAAACGAUGGGUGCUUGCACCCAGGCGUCGAGCGGCGGACGGGUGAGUAAUGCAUAGGAAUCUGCCCAGUAGUGGGGGAUAGCCCGGGGAAACCCGGAUUAAUACCGCAUACGCCCUUUGGGGGAAAGCAGGGGAUCUUCGGACCUUGCGCUAUUGGAUGAGCCUAUGUCGGAUUAGCUUGUUGGUGGGGUAACGGCUCACCAAGGCAACGAUCCGUAGCUGGUCUGAGAGGAUGAUCAGCCACAUCGGGACUGAGACACGGCCCGAACUCCUACGGGAGGCAGCAGUGGGGAAUAUUGGACAAUGGGGGCAACCCUGAUCCAGCCAUGCCGCGUGUGUGAAGAAGGCUUUCGGGUUGUAAAGCACUUUCAGUGAGGAGGAAAACCUUACGACUAAUACUCGUGAGGCUUGACGUUACUCACAGAAGAAGCACCGGCUAACUCCGUG
Molecule: ribosomal RNA, 488 nt
Filed under: uncultured bacterium
Lineage: Bacteria
Description: bacterial SSU rRNA
Rfam family: Bacterial small subunit ribosomal RNA
Source: RNAcentral